Molecule: RNase P RNA, 357 nt
Filed under: Oceanospirillaceae bacterium
Lineage: Bacteria; Pseudomonadati; Pseudomonadota; Gammaproteobacteria; Oceanospirillales; Oceanospirillaceae
Description: RNase P RNA component class A
Rfam family: Bacterial RNase P class A
About the family: Ribonuclease P (RNase P) is a ubiquitous endoribonuclease, found in archaea, bacteria and eukarya as well as chloroplasts and mitochondria. Its best characterised activity is the generation of mature 5'-ends of tRNAs by cleaving the 5'-leader elements of precursor-tRNAs. Cellular RNase Ps are ribonucleoproteins.
Source: RNAcentral
GAAGUUGGCCGGAUAAUCGCUGUCAGUUUUUAACUGGGGGAGGAAAGUCCGGGCUUCAUAGGGCAGGGUGCCAGGUAACCCCUGGGCGGUGUGAACCGACGACCAGUGCAACAGAGAGCAAACCGCCGAUGGCCCGCGCAAGCGGGAUCAGGUAAGGGUGAAAGGGUGCGGUAAGAGCGCACCGCGCGGCUGGCAACAGUCCGUGGCACGGUAAACUCCACCCGAAGCAAGACCAAAUAGGAAUCCUGAGGUACGGCCCGUACUGGAUUCGGGUAGGUCGCGUGAGGUGUGUGGCGACGCACAUCCAAGAUGAAUGAUUAUCCAAGACAGAACCCGGCUUACAGGCCAACUUCGCAU